UCUGGGGGGAUGUGGGGGUCUCUCAGCCCAGAUUGUGAGAGGGCACAGGCCAGGCUGAGGGACCCCACCAGUGCAUG
Molecule: non-coding RNA, 77 nt
Organism: Myotis davidii
Lineage: Eukaryota; Metazoa; Chordata; Mammalia; Chiroptera; Vespertilionidae
Source: Rfam